This 491-nucleotide ribosomal RNA is filed under the name uncultured bacterium. RNAcentral describes it as "partial 16S ribosomal RNA". It matches the Rfam family "Bacterial small subunit ribosomal RNA", at positions 29 to 507 of the family's 1533-position model. The record is from RNAcentral.
GUGAACGCUGGCGGUAGGCCUAACACAUGCAAGUCGAACGGCAGCACAGUAAGAGCUUGCUCUUACGGGUGGCGAGUGGCGGACGGGUGAGGAAUACAUCGGAAUCUACUUUUUCGUGGGGGAUAACGUAGGGAAACUUACGCUAAUACCGCAUACGACCUACGGGUGAAAGCAGGGGAUCUUCGGACCUUGCGCGAUUGAAUGAGCCGAUGUCGGAUUAGCUAGUUGGCGGGGUAAAGGCCCACCAAGGCGACGAUCCGUAGCUGGUCUGAGAGGAUGAUCAGCCACACUGGAACUGAGACACGGUCCAGACUCCUACGGGAGGCAGCAGUGGGGAAUAUUGGACAAUGGGCGCAAGCCUGAUCCAGCCAUACCGCGUGGGUGAAGAAGGCCUUCGGGUUUUAAAGCCCUUUUGUUGGGAAAGAAAAGCAGCAGGUUAAUACCCCGCUGUUCUGACGGUACCCAAAGAGUAAGCACCGGCUAACUUCGUG